GCCUAACUCGAGAAAUUCCUAAGUCAAGUACGGAGGUGGCCUAGCGGUGUCAGGUAGCGCCUAGGACAGAAAAACAUGGCGCCGUAGAAGACCGCAGACGUCACCGGAAGAUUUUUCGUCCUCGGAAAGACGUGCUGUGUGAUUAUAACGACGAAAAACUCGUUAAGAUGAAUUGCUUGGAUCGCCCUUCAAAGUCCGACACAGAGGAACACCUGAGAUGAAGGUGGUGAUUUUACUAAGACAGGUGAUGGAACUCCUCAAAUGUCAUCUUGGCAAGAUCCUGCAAUGAUGCAGAGGAUGGGUGCACUGGAAGUUAUUGUCCCUCUGCAGCAGUUCGAUAUUCUGGCUUUCCUGCCAUAGCUUGCUGUACCAACUGUGGGAGAGAGGAGCAUACUGAUUUUUUUUUUUUUUUUUUUUAUACUUAGGAGAGCAUAUUUUUGUUAUAAUAUGCAGGUUUGUGUUAUUUGAACCCUACACUUAUUAAUGAUUGACUGUAAUAUAACCAUACAAGGACUAAAUUAACCAAAACACAGGAACUAGGUGUAUGUCCCUAGUAAAACUUGGUAUCACGUUUACAAAUCUGCACUUCCAAGACUAGUCUGUUACUGCAUGUGUAUACAAUUAUUUUAUAUAUCUAAUUUGUAUUUAAGUGAAAUCAUUUGGUCCAAUAUGAAAAUAAAAUCUGUAAAGAAAUAAACAAGA
This is a long non-coding RNA of Portunus trituberculatus (swimming crab), 702 nucleotides long. RefSeq lists it as uncharacterized. NCBI's taxonomy places the organism in Eukaryota, Metazoa, Arthropoda, Malacostraca, Decapoda, Portunidae. The transcript is spliced from 2 exons. The record is from RefSeq and is a predicted model, not a curated record.